RNAcentral lists this ribosomal RNA (789 nucleotides) under uncultured bacterium. RNAcentral's name for it is "bacterial SSU rRNA". It matches the Rfam family "Bacterial small subunit ribosomal RNA", at positions 10 to 796 of the family's 1533-position model. The record is from RNAcentral.
AGUUUGAUCCUGGCUCAGAUUGAACGCUGGCGGCAUGCCUUACACAUGCAAGUCGAACGGUAACGGGCCUUCGGGUGCCGACGAGUGGCGAACGGGUGAGUAAUGCAUCGGAACGUACCUUUCAGUGGGGGAUAACGUAGCGAAAGUUACGCUAAUACCGCAUAUUCUGUGAGCAGGAAAGCAGGGGAUCGCAAGACCUUGCGCUGAUUGAGCGGCCGAUGUCAGAUUAGCUAGUUGGUGAGGUAAAGGCUCACCAAGGCGACGAUCUGUAGCGGGUCUGAGAGGAUGAUCCGCCACACUGGAACUGAGACACGGUCCAGACUCCUACGGGAGGCAGCAGUGGGGAAUUUUGGACAAUGGGGGCAACCCUGAUCCAGCCAUGCCGCGUGAGUGAAGAAGGCCUUCGGGUUGUAAAGCUCUUUCGGCCGAGAAGAAAUCGUAUGGGUUAAUACCCUGUGCGGAUGACGGUACCGGCAUAAGAAGCACCGGCUAACUACGUGCCAGCAGCCGCGGUAAUACGUAGGGUGCGAGCGUUAAUCGGAAUUACUGGGCGUAAAGCGUGCGCAGGCGGUUUUGUAAGACAGGCGUGAAAUCCCCGGGCUCAACCUGGGAACUGCGCUUGUGACUGCAAGGCUAGAGUACGGCAGAGGGGGGUGGAAUUCCACGUGUAGCAGUGAAAUGCGUAGAGAUGUGGAGGAACACCAAUGGCGAAGGCAGCCCCCUGGGUCGAUACUGACGCUCAUGCACGAAAGCGUGGGUAGCAAACAGGAUUAGAUACCCUGGUAGUCC